Erinaceus europaeus (western European hedgehog) is the source of this 292-nucleotide unclassified non-coding RNA. Its record names the gene 7SK. It matches the Rfam family "7SK RNA". From Rfam's summary of the family: 7SK was discovered as an abundant small nuclear RNA in the mid-70s but a possible function has only recently been suggested. Two independent studies have found that 7SK RNA binds the CDK9/cyclin T complex (known as elongation factor P-TEFb). The record is from Ensembl. NCBI's taxonomy places the organism in Eukaryota, Metazoa, Chordata, Mammalia, Eulipotyphla, Erinaceidae.
GGGUGUGAGGGCACUCAGGCUGUGACAUCUGUCACCCAUUGAUAGCCAGGGUUGAUUCCACUGAGCUGGCUGGCUAGGUGGGUGUUCCCUUCCUCCCUCACCACUCCAUGUACAUCCCUCCCAAAGCUGAGCAUUCAGUAGAAGAGGAUGGCCUUCCCCCCAAAAAAAAGAGACAUUAACAAAUUAAUGGGAUAAGAGGGGUACAACUCCACACAAUUCCCACCACCAGAUCUCCAUAUCCCAUACCCUCCUCCAUCCCCCUUUCCUAUUCUUUAUCCCUCUGGGAGUAUGG